AAGUCGUAACAAGGUUUCCGUAGGUGAACCUGCGGAAGGAUCAUUACAAAUCUCUGUAUUGUGCCACCUGUAAAAGGGUGCGCAUAUACAUAAGGUCUUUGUUGGCGCAAGCCGACUAUUGACAUUUACGCUUGUUUUGUUUGACAGUUUUACAGUGAAUCAUAAACUUAUACAACUUUUAACAAUGGAUCUCUUGGCUCUU
RNAcentral lists this unclassified non-coding RNA (202 nucleotides) under fungal sp. RNAcentral's name for it is "partial internal transcribed spacer region". The stretch from base 1 to 46 matches the Rfam family "Eukaryotic small subunit ribosomal RNA", at positions 1786 to 1831 of the family's 1831-position model. The record is from RNAcentral. Lineage: Eukaryota; Fungi.